GAUGAACGCUGGCGGCGUGCUUAAUACAUGCAAGUCGAACGGAGAUAGUAGCAAUAUUAUCUUAGUGGCGAACGGGUGAGUAACGCGUUGGUGACCUGCCCCGAAGAGAGGGAUAGCAGUUCGAAAGGACUGAUAAUACCUCAUGUGGUUGAGAGUCUUAGAAUCUCUUAACUAAACGGAUUUAUUCGCUUCGGGAGGGGCCUGCGUCCCAUCAGCUAGUUGGUAAGGUAAUGGCUUACCAAGGCGAUGACGGGUAGGGGACCUGAGAGGGUGGCCCCCCACAAUGGAACUGAAACACGGUCCAUACACCUACGGGUGGCAGCAGUAGGGAAUAUUGGUAAUGUGCGAAAGCGCGAACCAGCAACGCCGCGUGCACGAUGAAGGCCUUCGGGUCGUAAAGUGCUUUUAGAGAGGAUGAGGAAGGACAGUACUUUCUGAAUAAGCCUCGGCUAACUACGUG
Molecule: ribosomal RNA, 460 nt
Filed under: uncultured bacterium
Lineage: Bacteria
Description: bacterial SSU rRNA
Rfam family: Bacterial small subunit ribosomal RNA
Source: RNAcentral